AGGAUAAACGCUGGCGGCGUGCCUAACACAUGCAAGUCGAACGUCUCUUUCUUCGGGAAGAGGAGUGGCGGACGGGUGAGGAACACGUGGGAACCUGCCCUUCAGUGAGGAAUACCGACGAGAAAUCGCCGACAAGACCGCAUAGCCCUCUCUGGUGAGAGCCAGAGAAGGAAAGCCUCGCAAGAGGCGCUGGAGGAGGGGCCUGCGUCCGAUUAGCUAGUUGGUGGGGUAAGAGCCUACCAAGGCGUCGAUCGGUAGCUGGUCUGAGAGGACGAUCAGCCACACUGGGAUUGAGAACGGCCCAGACUCCUACGGGGGGCAGCAGUGAGGAAUUUUCGGCAAUGGGGGAAACCCUGACCGAGCAACGCCGCGUGUAGGAAGACGGCCUUCGGGUUGUAAACUGCUUUUCUUUGGGUACGAGCAAGGACGGUACCAGAGGAAUCAGCCCCGGCUCACUACGUGCCAGCAGCCGC
RNAcentral lists this ribosomal RNA (473 nucleotides) under uncultured bacterium. Its description in RNAcentral is "SSU rRNA". It matches the Rfam family "Bacterial small subunit ribosomal RNA", at positions 26 to 518 of the family's 1533-position model. The record is from RNAcentral.